RNAcentral lists this small RNA (258 nucleotides) under Ureibacillus manganicus DSM 26584. RNAcentral describes it as "Lysinibacillus manganicus DSM 26584 BsrG". It matches the Rfam family "BsrG". From Rfam's summary of the family: bsrE, bsrG and bsrH pair through intermolecular interactions with antisense sRNAs. SR4 interaction with the 3'UTR of bsrG RNA promotes bsrG degradation and inhibits its translation. Lineage: Bacteria; Bacillati; Bacillota; Bacilli; Caryophanales; Caryophanaceae. The record is from Rfam by way of RNAcentral.
AAAUGUAAUAGUUUGGUAACUCAAGGGUGGUUGGCUCACUCCUCUAUUCAGAAUGGGGGUGAGGCCUUAUGACAGUAUUUGAAGCAUUAAUGUUUGCAGUAGCAUUCGCAGCAUUAAUUGUAUCAAUACUUUCGUCAGUAAAUAAAAAAUAACCCAUCCUUGAGUUUGCAGGCACGGAUGGGUUAGUACUAUCUUGUAGCCAAUCCCCUUGUAGGGACCAACUAUUAUUGUUGACUACUUGAUGCUGGAACAUCAGGU